RNAcentral lists this ribosomal RNA (253 nucleotides) under uncultured bacterium. RNAcentral's name for it is "partial 16S ribosomal RNA". It matches the Rfam family "Bacterial small subunit ribosomal RNA", at positions 524 to 776 of the family's 1533-position model. The record is from RNAcentral.
UACGGGGGGGGUAAGCGUUGUUCGGAAUUACUGGGCGUAAAGCGUGCGCAGGCGGUUUUGUAAGACAGAUGUGAAAGCCCCGGGCUCAACCUGGGAAUGGCAUUUGGGACUGCAAGGCUUGAGUGCGGCAGAGGAGACUGGAAUUCCUGGUGUAGCAGUGAAAUGCGUAGAUAUCAGGAGGAAUACCGAUGGCGAAGGCAGGUCUCUGGGCUGACACUGACGCUCAUGCACGAAAGCGUGGGGAGCAAACAGG